ACUCUUAAUUAAUUAACAGUUAAACUCGGUUGAUUUUUCCUCUAUCAAAAUCAGUCACUCACGCAGAAUUCAAUUGGCUUUUCGUCUUCAUCUUUCACGUUCAUUUUCGAGAAAAUCUAAAGUCGAGAAGCAAAGGUUAGCAUAUUAAAUCAGGUUCUCAGAUUACAAACCCUCACACCAGGUUCGUUUUAGUUGUUUUUAGUUGUAUAUCCAUCAUGUUAUCAACUUUGUUUUUUCUCUAAUUUUGUUGUAUUCCCAUGAAUUUGAAAAACACAAUCGUGUCUUCAUCUCUUUUUUAAUAGAAAGAGACAAUAAAUCUUCUACCGAAUUAUUUAUAUCUGUAUUAUUUUGGAGCAAUGUCAAGCAUGAAGCCAGUAUUGUUUGCAAACCAUUAAAUAUUGCCUUCAUUGGCGGUGUAAAUAAAUAUGGGUGGUCCUUGGUGUAAGUACUUGUUGUUAAUGAGGUACUUUUGGUUCAAGGGUUUGUUCAAAAUGAAUUAGAUCUCUGAUUGGGGAGGGUUUCUUCAUGAAUUUGUACAAAAAUGAAUUAGGUAUGUGAUUUGGGGUUUUUUAUUCGUGAAAAUUGGGUAUGUGAAUAGGGUUUUUUUCAUGAAUUUAUUCAAAAAAAUGAAUUGGGUAUGUGAUUUGGGGUUUUUUGUUCUUGAAUUUGUUUAAAAAUGAAUGGGUAUGUGAUUUGGGGUUUUUUCUUCAUGAAAAUUGGGUACAACUUCCCAUAUGUGUUUCCCCUGCAAUAAUUUUCCACAUUUUGGUUGCUUAUUAUAAAUUGAAUUGUUUUACUUGAGAUGCAUGUGUUAUUUCUAAUUGGCAAAUUAUUCUGACAAGGAGAUAUUUCAAAUUAACUAUAAUGAAUUUAAUUCAAUUUCCUUUCAAAUGUUGUGAUUCUUUCGUGUGUUAUGCAAGUUCUAAUUGGAGGGGUGUUACAGACUGAUUGAUGUACUCAUGAGUAAUUGUUGAAGCUGAUCAAUGCCAAGAACAUUAUGGAUAUAAUACUCGAGAAUUUCUGAAUAUUAUUAAUAAAUAUAUUAAUAAAAAUCGAGUAUUUAUUUGAGUAUAAUUGCAUAUUGUUGUGACAAGAGUUAUAGUACUUCUAUUCACUUAAAUUAAGUGUUGAGAAAUAUAUGACAGUAAGGUAAUGUAGUAACAUUGGUGAAGAGUUUAAUAUAAAGCUUGUGAGAAUUGCCUAGUGCGGCAUAAUAAAGGACUAAGAAAUUCAUUAAGUGAAUUAAGAGAGAGACUAUUUAAUAAGAGAAAGAUUAAUUAUGUGUAAUUAUAUAUAAUGGAAUGAUUAUAUAACUCCAUGCAUGAAAUAAAUAAGAUUUUUAGCUAGUAGUAUUAUCAAUUUGGGAUUUAAGUCAUGUUAUGUGAAACUGGUAUAAUGGUAGAGGUCGGGACUGACAUGAAGCUAAACCAGUUGAGCACUGCCAGGGACCGGCGCAGCUGCGCCCUUCCUGCAGUACAAACUGGCGCAGCUGCGCCAGUGGCCAGAGUUUGAAAGUUUUUUAUUACUGUAGAAAUUAUAUACAACAUUAUUGUAAUGUGUGACAUUAUUAAAAUCAUAUGAUAAGAGUACAUUUAAUGGUAUGAGGUACCAAGUAGCAUAAUAAAAUUUUGUGACAUUUUAAUACAUAAACAAUUAAUUAACUGUGUAUCUCAGAAAUUCAGAAAAGAAUUAAAUGUUUUAAUUUUUAAAAUAGACAUUUAAUAUUGGAUAGUGUUAUAAUAUUGAUGUAUGUGCACUAAUAAUAUCUAUGGAGAAUACCCGGUCAAUAAUACCUAACUGCAUUAUUUUAUCUGCAUUAAAUAUUAAAUUAUAUGAACCCAAUGUACAUGGAUUAUAUGAUAUGGGUACCUAUAUAAUCCCUAACUUUUCAUUAUGUAGUAACAUUUGUACAUUAGAAUCACAUGAGGGAACAAAAAGGGAAUUAAAUUAACCACAAUUGAACCAAAUGCUGAGGAUUUAAAAGCUUUGUUCCGUUUCAGUUACCAAACAGUAACCUAUAUCUACUUUAUGUAAAAUGCAAAGCUAAGCAUAGUGACUACAACCUACGUGAUGAUGGCUGGAGAUGGCUGAGGAAAUGGUGGUUGACCAACUCUUAUAUAACCAUUCUUUUCUUCUUCUACCCAUUGGAUUCCAAACUUAAUGCAAAACCAUUAACCAGACAACCAUUUCUCUAUAAAUGGCAGCUUCAUUUUCAAUUCUUGUUGCUGUAAAUUGUCUGAGGAAUUAUAAGUUGAGAGUGUGAGUUUCUUUGUUGAGUAGGAAGGAGUCUGAGAUUGUAAAUAGUAGACAUUUAAGCUUCAAGAAGGUAAAAAUCUGAUUUUGUGUUCUUAAUUUCUAACUUGAUGAAUUCCUGGAAUUUCUAUGAAAACUUCUGCGAUUAUGGUUGUGGAUUGAUAUAGAUGUGUUUAUUAAGCUUGUUUACAUAUAUGAUGUAAGACCCCGAAUUUUAUGAAAUGAAAGUAUUCAAUUUUCUUAUAAUUAUUAUUUUAUUUCGUAAAUGGUUAAAUUGAUAAGAGGUUAAAGUUAAGGGUGAUAUGUGAAAAUUUUGCAAAGUAAGGAAGUUGAUGUAAAAUAUUCAUUGUGUCGGAGAGUAUUCGUUUUAACAGGGAAUAUUCGUACGACGGCAUAAUCAUUGGUGGACCCCACAACGAAAGUAUUGUCGUAGUUAGAAAAUGACAGAAAUAUAUUUUUAUAAAAAUAACGGCGAAAGUUUUACCGUUAAACUGUUGAACUACUCGGUAGUAAAAGUACAGUAAUACGCGUGGUUGCAUAGUAGCACACGAUAUUGAUUAUUGAUGCUUACUAAAUCACUCAGUUAUACUCAAUUAUUGUUACAUAAUUGCUGCAUCAUAUCUCUCAUAUUAUUGAUUCAAUUAUUGUCACAAUAUCAUCUGCAAAAUAUUUUAUAUUAUUAAAUCAAUAAUUGAGACGACAAAGUUAUUUAUAUUAUUAUUUGCAAUAUUGACAAUGUCUAGAAGUUCUGUCAAGGAGAGGUUUGGUCACCUAAUUGCGCGCCAAUAAGGAGAAAUCCUUAUCGGAAAGCCCCCUCUUUCCUGGGAACGACCUGGUUGUUAAAUAUUGUGAGUUAUAAUAUUAAUAAUGAAUAAGUUCGUGUUGAUUAAAGAUAAAAUUUAUAGUUCCAUUGUGUUGAGAUUAUUAGUGUUAGUGGAAAUCGAUAUUUAUUUCGAUAAUAAUUGAUGUCUGGAAGUUAUAUUAACCAAUCGAGUAAUUAAUCGGAUAAAUUAGUAAUUAAUUACUAUUAAUUCACAUGCUUAAUUGCUAUUAAUUCGCUUGAAAUAAUAUUUUCUUCCAUACUCUAUAGUAUGUAAGUAAUAUUAUUUCAUUUCAGAUUUUGAAUUCUAUACUCAUUUUGUUGAAGUUUUGGCUUUUAUACUCCAUGAAAUUAGUAGAAUAUCUUUGAUAUUUGCGCUUCAUCCAAUAUCUUUUCAUGGAAAUAUUAUUCUGAGCUUUCUUGAUAAUUAUUGAUCUUUUCAUGACGAAGUACUAUUCACGAGUUACUAUUUAUGGGUUACUAUUCACCCGGUUACUAUUCACUCAAAUAUUAUUCAUUCGGGUAUUCGGGACACUUUUCAUGUCGAAGUACUAUUCAUGAGUUACUAUUCACCCGAAUAUUAUUCACUCGGGUAUUUGGGGUACUUUUCAUGCCAGGGUACUAUUCACGAGGUAUUAUUCCUGAAGUACUAUUCACAGGGUACUAUUCACGGGGUACUAUUUACCCGAAAAAUACAUUUUUUUUCUGUCCAAAUUAUUUUUGGUACAUAAAUAUUAUUCUUGAAUUUUACUCCACAAAGCAGUAUCAUGUUGACAAUUUAGAUAUUUUUAAACUCUGAAUAAAUUUAAAGUCUUUAAUAUUUAUCCUUGAUUUCAUUUGAUUAAUGCUUAUAUCAUUGUCAUCAUCAUCAUGCUUAUAUUGUGAUGAAAGUCAUCUUUGGCUUACGUGCAUAGAUGGACUGUUGAUUGGUAUGAUUAUGACAAGGGAUCAUUCGGUAUAAUCAUGACCCCUAAUGUUACAAAUGAUGUGGUAAAAGUCCUCAUUAGUCCGUAGUGCAUUGAUGAACAAUUGUUAGUAUGAUUAUGACCAGGGAUUAUUCGGUAUAAUCAUGACCAUUGAUGAUUACAUGAAUAUAUUUGGCCCGUAGUGUAGGGAUGAUUCGAUGAUGUGGUUUAUUUAUUAAGCUGAGUCUCAACGAUAAAGUUGAUGAAAAACUUUUUAAAUCAUAGAAGAUAGUAGAUAUCAUGCUCUACUUGACUCUUCUAAUGGAGUGCUUAUUCCGCUGCAGUUGUUGAUCUAAAACGUGUUGUCUAGUAUAUUCUAUCAGUUGUUAUACUGUUGAAGGCUAAGGAUAAUUUAUUCUGCAUUAUCUUAGUCAUGAUAUUUCUUACUGGGCUAGUUGAGCUCACCCUUUUCUUUCAUUGUUCUCUUCAGGAAAUGAGAAUAUAGCUGGGAUGAGUCGGGAAAUGGAGUGAUGAUCCAGGAUAAGUGGCUUUAGUAGUCCUCACUAUUCUGUGAAAUAGUGUGAUAAUAAUUGUAAUGGGGACUCCAUUGAGAGUGGAUAUUGUCUAGAAGGCAAUAUUCUUGUUUAAACUCUCAGCUAUGUUUUGUCGUAUAUUACCCGACAGUUGUAUAAUUAAGUUUGUAUUUGAUUUAUGUACCAACUAUCUGGCGACUCAAGAUGGGUUAUGUAUACCUAUUUUGGGGGCGUCACAGUUGGCAUCAAAGCUUAGGGAUAUGAUCCUUGGCUGAGAUGUGAGACUAGAACUAGGAGGGGAGAGACAGGUAAUUCCUUUGCUAGUAUGACCUAUCUAAGUUUAUUUGGUAUUUAAUUGGUCGGUCAGAGUAUAGGGAUAAUAUGUGAUAUGUCAAUUAACCCUUGUUUUGUGACAAUGUUUAAAAAUGGCAUCUGAAAAUGUUGAGAUCAGCAAUGAAGCACAUGAGACCGUUGAGUCACCAACGAUCAAUACCCAGGAUAAUGUGCAACAGGAAGACAAUAAUCCUCAGGUAAAUAACAACACCGAUCAGAUGAUGAACGAUGAGAUAUUCAGAGGCUUUAUGCAAUUCAUGCAACAUCAGGCGAGAGAGACUCCUGUUCAAAAUUCAGAUGAAAAUACUGGCAACUCUCGGAUGGUCAUUGCUAAGCAGUUCAAGGAGCUGGGACCGCCGGAGUUUUUGGGAAAGCCAGAACCACUUAAGGCGAAGACGUGGAUAAAGCAAAUCACCAAGAUAUUUGAUGUCUUGAAAUGCUUAGAGGAACAAAAGGUUCCCUUCGCCACCUUUAUGUUGCGUGAAGAGGCAGAUUAUUGGUGGGAAUCUGUAAAGCGUACCCAGCCUGACGCACUCAAGAUGUCUUGGAAGAAGUUUCAAGAGUUGUUCAACGACAAGUACUUUCCCGAAAGUAUUCGUCACAUGAAGGUGGUGGAAUUCAUCAAGUUGGAGCAAAACAAUAUGACUGUGUCGCAAUACGAGACUAAAUUUGCUGAGUUAUCCCGGUUUGCAUCCUAUUUGGUCGAUAAUGAGGAGCGAAUGACGCAAAUGUUUCUAAGAGGUUUGAAACUCGAUAUACGUCAAUACCUCAUUUCUCGCAAACUUUGUUUAUAUUCAGAUGUUGUGAAUAGGGCUCAGUUAUUAGAGCGCGAUAAUGAGUCAGCACAACCAAAAGGCAACGACCAACAACACGAUAAUAAUCAUACCGGUGGGAACGGCCAUCGGAACAACGAUAACCAUCAUGGGGGAAAUUAUCAUGCCAAGAAUGGUAAACACUUCGGUGGUAAUCAUGGCAAAGAUAAUAGAAGUGGAAAAUUCAGAAAGAGAAGAUUUAACGAUGAUGGGAAGACGUCGGCAGCAGCACCAACACCAAUAACAAAUUCUAGGGGAGGAGAACGACCGCCAGUUAGAUGCUAUAGAUGCGGAGAGGAGGGACACAUAAGUCCAAACUGUUCACAACCUUCCAACGUAUAUUUUAGUUGUGGAAAAGACGGUCACAUAGCUUGAUUUUGUCUUGUUGCGAAAUCAAGUCUAGCUGGGAUGGUGGCACCAAAGGCAGAUACGGACAAAAUAAAGUCGGUGGUUUUAGGAAGAGCAUUUUUCGUGACUUCUCAAAAAGCGAGUAACUCGAACAAAGUUAUCAUGGGUUAGUUAAUCAUAAACUCUUGCGAAGUCUAUACCUUGUUAGAUACAAUUUCUACCCAUUCUUUUAUUUCUCCUACUUGAGCUCAAUGUUUAAAUUUAAAUCCAGAGAAAUUAGACUUUGACUUAUCUGUUGAAACUCUAUUAGGAGAAACCUUAAUUACAUGUGCUAUCCAAGUAUUGGAUGGGAGUCACAGUUUUUAAAUGAUAUUUUUAUCGUUAAUAAAUUUCAUGACGUAUUCUCUGAAGACUUCCUGACCUACCCUAGAGCGUGAAAUCAAAUUUUAUAUUGACCCCAGUACAAAAUCCAUUUCUAAAACCCUUAAAUAUUUCUUCAACCAAAACGAACGUAUAAUGCGCCAAAGACAUUGGCUCGAGUUGUUGAAGAUUACGACCACACCAUUCAAUAUUAUCGUGGAAAAAAUGAACGUGGUAGCUGAUGCAUUGGGUAGAAGAUCGUAUGCGUUUACGAUUGUAACGUUGUUAACACAAAGACCCAUUUCGUAUAACUUACAAAUAAUGAAGAUAGAGUUAAAGACCCUAAGGACCCACGUGGUGAUAUCAAAUAUACGAAUAGAAUCGACUUUAAUCAAUAAAGUUAAAAGUCGUUCAAGCUACAGACCCGGAGCUGAUGAAUACGAAGAGGAAGGUUCAAGAAGGCGUUAUUCUAGAAGCAAGACUCGAUCAAGAGAGGAAAUCUCAACCCUUGAUUUUAUUGGUCUAUUUGAAAUCCUCGAUCGAGUAGGAACUGUGGCCUAUAGGCUCGUUUUACCACCAAGUAUGUUGCAUGUUCAUAACGUUUUUCACGUAUCGAUGUUACGUAAAUAUGUGGACGACCCGAACCAUAUUAUUGAAUUAGAACCGGACGAAAUAGCGGAAGAUUUAACGUAUGAGGAGAUACCUGUUAAAAUCUUGGAUAAGAAGAAUCAUAUUCUACACUCAAAGGUUAUACCUCAAGAGUUAGAAUCUGACGAGGUAUCCUCACCUCUUCGGCAUACCAGGUAUGUACGUAAAUUUCGAGGGCAAAAUUUCAUAAAGAGGGGAGAUUGUAAGACCCCAAAUUUUAUGAAAUGAAAGUAUUCAAUUUUCUUAUAAUUAUUAUUUUAUUUCGUAAAUGGUUAAAUUGAUAAGAGGUUAAAGUUAAGGGUGAUAUGUGAAAAUUUUGCAAAGUAAGCAAAUUGAUAUAAAAUAUUCAUUGUGUCGGGGAAUAUUCGUUUUAACAGGAAAUAUUCGUAUGAUGGCAUAAUCAUUGGUGCACCCUAUAACGAAAGUAUUGUCGUAGUUAGAAAAUGACAGAAAUAUCUUUUUAUAGAAAUAACGGUGAAAGUUUUACCGUUAAACUGUUGAACUACGCAGUAUUAAAGUAAAGUAAUACGCGUGGUUGCAUAGUAGCAUACGGUAUUGAUUAUUGAUGCUUACGUGAGAAAUCACUGAGUUAUACUCAAUUAUUGCUACAAUAAUUGCUGCAUCAUAUCUCUCAUAUUAUUGAUUCAAUUAUUGUCACAGUAUCAUCUGCAAAAUAUUUUAUAUUAUUAAAUCAAUAAUUGAGACGAUAAAGUUAUUCAUAUUAUUAUUUGCAAUAUUGACAAUGUCUAGAAGUUCUGUCAAAGAGAGUUUUGGUCACCUAAUUGCGCGCCAAUAAGGAGAAAUCCUUAUCGGAAAGCCCCCUUUUUCCUGGGAAUGACCUGGUUAUUAAAUAUUGUGAGUUAUAAUAUUAAUGAUGAAUAAGUUCGUGUUGAUUAAAGAUGAAAUUUAUAUUUCCAUUGUAUUGGGAUUAUUAGUGUUAGUGGAAAUCGACAUUUAUUUCGAUAAUAAUUGAUGUCUGAAAGUUAUAUUGACCAAUCGGGUAAUUAAUCGGAUAAAUUGGCAAUUAAUUGCUAUUAAUUCACAUGCUUAUAACUAUGUGUUCACAUGUGUGUACUAUUGAUUCACAUGUAUGUACUAUUAGGGGAGGUAGCGCAAGAUUGAUAAUACUUGUAUGACUAAAUUAAAAAUAAAGGUAUAGAUGAAGGUACUAUCUUGUAAUUAUUUUUUUCACAUGUAUAAAACUAUUGAGUCACAUGAUUGUACUAUUGAUUCACAUGAUAUACUAUUAGGGGAGGUGGUGCAAGUUUGAUAAUACUUGCAGGACUAAAUUAAAAAUGAAAGAAAAAAAAUGAAGGUAUUAUACUGUAAUAUUUCGAGCCCCAAAACGUGCAAUUAUCGAAACUAUAUUUUUCUAUAAAUCAAAGCUCAUUCUUCCUUCAUUCUCACCAAUUCACUAAGACUCAUAAGAGCAAUUAUAGAGAGAGAUGCUAUAUAGAGAGAAGCUAUAGAGAGAUAGAAGAAGAGUAGUCUGCUACUUCACUACUCAAGUAUCUAGUCUUCUUCUGAGGUAAGGGGUAUUAUUUAUUUCAUAUUUUGAAGAGAUAUUAUUUUUCGUAUUCGUAUGAAUAUUAUUUUCAUUCAAUAUUCGUAAGGAUUAUCAUCUUCGUUCAAUAUUCGUAGGAAUAUUAUUUUCGUUCAACAGUCGUAAGGGGUAUUAUUUAUUUCAUAUUCUGAAGAGAUAUUAUUUUUCGUAUUCGUAUGAAUAUUAUUUUCGUUCAAUAUUCAUAAGGAAUAUUAUCUUCGUUCAAUAUUCGUAGGAAUAUUAUCUUCGUUAAAUAUUCGUUGGAAUAUUAUUUUCGUUCAACAGUUGUAAGGGAUGUUAUUUUUGUUCAAUAUUCGCUUGAAAUAAUAUUUUCUUCCUUACUCUAUAGUAUGCAAGUAAUAUUAUUUCAUUUCAGAUUUUAAAUUCUAUACUCAUUUUGCUGAAGUUUUGGCUUCUAUACUCCAUGAAAUUAGUAGAAUAUCCUUGAUAUUUAUGAUUCAUCUAGUAUCUUUUUAUGGAAAUAUUAUUUUGAGCUUUCUUGAUAAUUAUUGAUCUUUUCAUGACAGAGUACUAUUCAUGAGUUACUAUUCAUGGGUUACUAUUCACUCAAAUAUUAUUCACUCGGGUAUUCGGGGCACUUUUCAUGCCAGAGUAGUAUUCAUGAGUUACUAUUCACCCAAUUACUAUUCACCCAAAUAUUAUUCACUCGGGUAUUUGGGGUACUUUUCAUGUCGAGGUACUAUUUAUGAGGUACUAUUCCCGAAGUACUAUUCACAGGGUACUAUUCAAGGGGUACUAUUUACCCAAAAAAUACAUUUCUUUUCUGUCCAAAUUAUUUUUGGUACAUGAAUAUUAUUCUUGAAUUUUACUCCACAAAGCAGUAUCAUGUUGACAAUUUAGAUAUUUUUAAACUCUGAAUAAAUUUAAAGUCUUUAAUAUUUAUCCUUGAUUUCGUUUGAUUUGUUUUCGUUUGAUUAUUGCUUAUAUCAUUGUCAUCAUCCUCAUUCUUAUAUUGUGAUGAAAGUCAUCUUUGGCUUACGUGCAUAGAUGGACUAUUGAUUGGUAUGAUUAUGACCAAGGUUCAUUCGGUAUAAUCAUGACCCGUAAUGUUACAAAUGAUGUGGUAAAAGUCCGAUUUGGCCCGUAGUACAUUGAUGGACAGUUGUUGGUAUGAUUAUGACCAGGGAUUAUUCGGUAUAAUCAUUACCAUUGAUGAUUACAUGAAUAUCCUUGGCCCGUAGUGCAGGGAUGAUUCAAUGAUGUGGUUUAUUUAUUAAUCUGAGUCUCAGCUAUAAAGUUGAUGAAAAACUUUUUAAAUCAUAAUUUAAGAUAGUAGAUAUCAUGCUCUACUUGACUCUUCUAAUGGAUUGCUUAUUCCGCUACAGUUGUUGAUCUAAAACGUGUUGUCUAUUAUAUUCUAUCAGUUGUUAUAUUGUUGAAGGCUAAGGAUAAUUUACUCUGCAUUAUCUUAGUCAUAAUAUUUCUUACCGGGCUAGUUGAGCUCACCCUUUUCUUUCAUUGUUCUAUUCAGGAAAUGAGAAUAUAGCUGGGACGAGUCGGGAAAUUGAGUGAUGGUCCAGGAUAAGUGGCUUUAGUAGUCCUCACUAUUCUGUGAAAUAGUGUGAUAAUAAUUGUAAUGAGGACUCCAUUGAGAGUGGAUAUUGUCUAGAAGGAAAUAUUCUUAUUUAAACUCUCAGCUAUGUUUUGUCGUAUAUUAAGACAGUUGUAUAAUUAAGUUUGUAUUUGAUUUAUAUACCAAAUAUCUGGCGACUCAAGAUGGGUGAUGUAUACCUAUUUUGGGGGCGUCACAUAUGAACCCUUUAUAGAUAGGUUUAAGCAUGUUUAGAAUGAAGGAAUCGAAGGUGGGUUUGAUACUCUGCAGAUAGAGCUCUUUCAUGGUUCUUUUCAGGAAGGGCGCAACUAUGCCCAGUUUGUACUAGGGUGCAGCGCAGCUGCACCAGUCCCCAGAACCAGAUUCUGGCUUCUGUUGUGCUGUGAUAUUUCUAGCCUACAAGUUUGGUUUAGAUAUGCAUGAAAACAAGUAUAAUAUGUAGUAUAAAGCUCUCUUAUAAGAUAUGAAUUGUCCAAGCAUGACCUAGUAGGAAUUCUAUAACAAAAGCUUAAAGUUUUGAAAACAAACUUUGAUGGAACUUGUAUUCUACAAAUUCUGAGCAUGAUAAUAUACAUAUAUGACUUAUUUAUGAACAUAAAUGAGCAUGGGUUGUGAUGUAUGGUCCCUUUGUUCUUGUCCAAAUUGUGUGGCUUUAAACUAAAUGCUUUUUCAAGGGAAAUUUGACGUAUUUGAAACUAAUAUCCAUGGAUACCACAACGAAUAUGUUCUAAUUCGUUGGGCAUGAGUAUAAGGUCUAGUCAUGCAUGAAAUAGGGUUAUAAGAUGCUUCGUAUGCACUACAUUGCCUUGACUUGUUUUAAAACAAUUUCAAAAGCAAACUCGGAUAUUUGAUCUUCGUAUUGAAUGUAAGUCCCUAAACUCUUUACAAUAUAUAUGUUAUAUAAUUCUGAAUUAUUGUCAUCCAAUCACACUUAUAUCAAGUAAAUAUCUAUUGCUAUUCAAAAAUCAUUUGUAUAUCUUGAUAUAGUUGUAAGCAUUGAACUUAUUGUUUUUAAAUACAUUAUAAACGUUGUCUAAGCCAUUGAUUCGGCUAGACUAUUAUCGUAUGUUGGAAAGCUAUCCAGACCAAUCGAAUUGGUGCGGACUCUUAUAAUUGACUGAGAUGAACAACCCUGCUUGAAGGGGAAACUAUAUAAUUAUCGGGAGACUGACGUGAGCACAUGAGUAUGAUUAAAUGUUAUUCAUAAUGUAGGGUACUUAGGUUGAUCACCUGUUAUACUCAUGUUAUUAAAUUUUUAGUGUAAUACUAUUAAUUCUAGUAGAAGUGUUUAGUCCUUAGUGACUGCUCAGUGUUCAUUAAUCUUGAACUUUGAUAUGAUUAACUCUUUUGUUAAUAUCUUUCAUGUCCAUAGCAACUUUAUUGAGAACUGUUGAUAAUUCCUGAACUACUAUUCAUUGUUCACCGUUAUUACGAUAUUACUUGCUGGGCAAAUUUGUUCCUCAUCCUUGCUUCCUUAAAACUUUCAGUUAAGGCAGAACGCGGUGAACCUUCAGCCAAGGACAAGGGAAUAGAUAAGGCUUCAGAAUAGCUUUGUUUCCUAGGGUUAGGAAUUUACUAUUAUUAUGUUGUGUGAAUACUUAGUUACUAUGAUGUAAUAAGUUAUGUUAAAUUAAGUUUUAAUAUUGUAGUAACGGUUCGAGACCUUGGGACGAGAAUAAUUAUGUUAUGACAUUAUAAAUUAUUCUAGUAUUCAGUUGUUAAU
RNAcentral lists this long non-coding RNA (11851 nucleotides) under Panax ginseng (ginseng). RNAcentral's name for it is "long non-coding RNA (PGIN_LNC016703)". Lineage: Eukaryota; Viridiplantae; Streptophyta; Magnoliopsida; Apiales; Araliaceae. The record is from RNAcentral.